CGCAGGAUAGAGUAGUUGGUAGCUUGUCGGGCUUAGAUUUUUAUCAAUAAAGAGUCGAAGGUCGUAGUUUUUAUCAAGUCCUACUCCCGCAACCA
This 95-nucleotide transfer RNA is filed under the name Shewanella sp. SR44-4. Its description in RNAcentral is "tRNA-OTHER". The record is from RNAcentral. Lineage: Bacteria; Pseudomonadati; Pseudomonadota; Gammaproteobacteria; Alteromonadales; Shewanellaceae.